Molecule: ribosomal RNA, 492 nt
Filed under: uncultured bacterium
Lineage: Bacteria
Description: partial 16S ribosomal RNA
Rfam family: Bacterial small subunit ribosomal RNA
Source: RNAcentral
AGUGAACGCUGGCGGUAGGCCUAACACAUGCAAGUCGAACGGCAGCACAGUAAGAGCUGGCUCUUACGGGUGGCGAGUGGCGGACGGGUGCGGAAUACAUCGGAAUCUACAUUUUCGUGGGGGAUAACGCAGGGAAACUUACGCUAAUACCGCAUACGACCUACGGGUGAAAGCAGGGGAUCUUCGGACCUUGCGCGAUUGAAUGAGCCGAUGUCGGAUUAGCUAGUUGGCGGGGUAAAGGCGCACCAAGGGGACGAUCCGUAGCUGGUCUGAGAGGAUGAUCAGGCACAUUGGAUCUGAGACACGUCCCCGACUCCUACAGUGAGCAGCAGUGGGGAAUAUUGCACAAUGGGCGAGAGCCUGAUCCAGCCCUACCGGGUGGGUGAAGAAGGCCUUAGGCUUGUAAAGUCCUUUUGUUGGGAAAGAAAAGAAGCAGGUUAAUACCCCGCUGUUCUGACGGUACCCAAAGAAUAAGCACCGGCUAACUUCGUG